UACGGGGGGGGCAAGCGUUGUUCGGAAUUACUGGGCGUAAAGGGCUCGUAGGUGGCCAACUAAGUCAGACGUGAAAUCCCCAGGCUUAACCUGGGAACUGCGUCUGAUACUGGAUGGCUUGAAUUCGGGAGAGGGAUGCAGAAUUCCAGGUGUAGCGGUGAAAUGCGUAGAUAUCUGGAGGAAUACCGGUGGCGAAGGCGGCAUCCUGGACCGAAAUUGACACUGAUGAGCGAAAGCUAGGGGAGCAAACGGG
RNAcentral lists this ribosomal RNA (253 nucleotides) under uncultured bacterium. RNAcentral's name for it is "partial 16S ribosomal RNA". It matches the Rfam family "Bacterial small subunit ribosomal RNA", at positions 524 to 776 of the family's 1533-position model. The record is from RNAcentral.